CCAUGCAUGUCUAAGUGCACGCCUCAAUACGGUGAAACCGCGAAUGGCUCAUUAAAUCAGCUAUGGUUUAUUGGAUCGUACCCGUUAAAUGGAUAACUGUAAUAACUCUAGAGCUAAUACAUGCCACGAAGCCCUGACUUGUACCUCUCGGUAUAGGGAUGGGUGCACUUAUUAGAUCAGAAACCAACCGAGCCUGUGUCAGCACCGCCUUCUCGGAGGUGGCUGGUGUGGACUCGUUGUCGUUCUGGUGACUCUGGAUAAUUGUUACAGAUCGCAGUCGGCCUUGCGUCGGCGACGGGUCCUUCAAAUGUCUGCCCUAUCAACUUUCGAUGGUAGGUGAUCUGCCUACCAUGGUGAUAACGGGUAACGGGGAAUCAGGGUUCGAUUCCGGAGAGGGAGCCUGAGAAACGGCUACCACUUCCAAGGGAGGCAGCAGGCGCGCAAAUUACCCACUCCCGGUACGGGGAGGUGGUGACGAAAAAUACCGAUGCGGGACUCUUCAAGAGGCUCCGUAAUCGGAAUGAGUGAACUCUAAAUCCUUUCACGAGGAUCAAUUGGAGGGCAAGUCUGGUGCCAGCAGCCGCGGUAACUCCAGCUCCAAUAGCGUAUAUUAAAGUUGCUGCAGUUAAAAAGCUCGUAGUUGGAUCUCGGUAUCACUGUUGCCUGCCAUUGCUUGGCCAGCUGGGUGCCGGGUGAUGCGGCUGAAUGCUGUGUUGCCUCUGGUGUCCGACUGUCGUCGAGUUGGUGUGGUGGCGGUGCCACCUUUUAGCCAUGUCUGUGGUGAAAUACCCACAGGUGUGGGCGAGUGUCGGGCGGUGCUCUACAGCUGUAGGGUCCGUCGGCUCGUCUGCAUGCCUUUGGAUGCCCUUCAAAAGGUGUCUGUGGGCGGAUGGCACGUUUACUUUGAACAAAUUUGAGUGCUCAAACCAGGCCGUUGUAGCCUGAAAGUUUUGCAUGGAAUAAUGGAAUAGGACUUCGGUUCUAUUUUGUUGGUUUUCGGAUCCGAAGUAAUGAUCAAAA
RNAcentral lists this ribosomal RNA (1020 nucleotides) under Djombangia penetrans. Its description in RNAcentral is "bacterial SSU rRNA". It matches the Rfam family "Eukaryotic small subunit ribosomal RNA", at positions 49 to 874 of the family's 1831-position model. The record is from RNAcentral. Lineage: Eukaryota; Metazoa; Platyhelminthes; Cestoda; Caryophyllidea; Lytocestidae.